Long non-coding RNA from Psammomys obesus (fat sand rat), 361 nucleotides. RefSeq lists it as uncharacterized. The record is from RefSeq and is a predicted model, not a curated record. The transcript is spliced from 3 exons. Lineage: Eukaryota; Metazoa; Chordata; Mammalia; Rodentia; Muridae.
GAUAUGGCUUGUCUUAAAUCAGAAUAUCAGGCUCAUUAUGAUGUGCCCCCUUUCCUGUGUGUUCCCAGGGAUGCCAUGUUUGGCUCUUUUUCCUGGGUAGUGAUUACAGCAAGAAAAAGCACCAGUCUUCCAAUACUUGCUGAGUUUGUCUAGUGUACCACAUAGCUGGAACAGAAAGAUGGCACUUCUACUUUCCUCAUAACCUGCAUGCAAAUGGAAAUUGGAGAAAUACAGCUUGUUAGAGUACUCUGACGCAUCAGCUGAAGGCGGGUUUGAGUUAUCUGCACAUGAACUCACAGGUCCCAUUCUCAGCCAAACGAAGCACAAUGACAGAAUCUGGAAAAGCUAGUGGCUCUGGUCA